GAAAUGCGAUAAGUAAUGUGAAUUGCAGAAUUCAGUGAAUCAUCGAAUCUUUGAACGCACCUUGCGCCCUUUGGCCAUUCCGAAGGGCAUGCCUGUUUGAGUAUCAUGAACACCUCAACUCUCAUGGCUUGCCAUGAUGAGCUUGGACUUUGGGGGUCUUGCUGGCCUGUGGUCGGCUCCUCUCAAAUGAAUCAGCUUGCCAGUGUUUGGUGGCAUCACAAGUGUGAUAACUAUCUGCGCUUGUGGUUUCCAUCAGAUAACCUCCAGUGAUGGAGGUUCGCUGGAGCUCAUAAAUGUCUCUCCUAAGUGAGGACAGCUCUUUCAAUGUUUGAUCUCAAAUCAGGUAGGACUACCCGCUGAACUUAA
This 366-nucleotide unclassified non-coding RNA is filed under the name uncultured Tomentella. RNAcentral describes it as "sequence contains ITS1". The stretch from base 1 to 106 matches the Rfam family "5.8S ribosomal RNA", at positions 50 to 154 of the family's 154-position model. Lineage: Eukaryota; Fungi; Basidiomycota; Agaricomycetes; Thelephorales; Thelephoraceae. The record is from RNAcentral.